GUGGGUUGUGGCUCAGUGGUAGAGCGCUUGCCUUGCACAUGUGUGACUCUGGGUUCAAUCCUCAGCACCACA
RNAcentral lists this transfer RNA (72 nucleotides) under Marmota monax (woodchuck). Its description in RNAcentral is "tRNA.Ala". It matches the Rfam family "tRNA". From Rfam's summary of the family: Transfer RNA (tRNA) molecules are approximately 80 nucleotides in length. Their secondary structure includes four short double-helical elements and three loops (D, anti-codon, and T loops). Lineage: Eukaryota; Metazoa; Chordata; Mammalia; Rodentia; Sciuridae. The record is from RNAcentral.